GAUUCCAUCCCGAACUCAGAAGUGAAACGAAACAGCGUCGAUGGUAGUGUGGGGUCUCCCCAUGUGAGAGUAGAACAUCGCCAGGC
RNAcentral lists this ribosomal RNA (86 nucleotides) under Vibrio cholerae. RNAcentral also lists the same sequence under 4 other names. Lineage: Bacteria; Pseudomonadati; Pseudomonadota; Gammaproteobacteria; Vibrionales; Vibrionaceae. The record is from RNAcentral.